UGAACGCUGGCGGCGUGCCUAAUACAUGCAAGUCGAGCGAACAGACGAGGAGCUUGCUCCUCUGACGUUAGCGGCGGACGGGUGAGUAACACGUGGAUAACCUACCUAUAAGACUGGGAUAACUUCGGGAAACCGGAGCUAAUACCGGAUAAUAUAUUGAACCGCAUGGUUCAAUAGUGAAAGACGGUUUUGCUGUCACUUAUAGAUGGAUCCGCGCCGCAUUAGCUAGUUGGUAAGGUAACGGCUUACCAAGGCAACGAUGCGUAGCCGACCUGAGAGGGUGAUCGGCCACACUGGAACUGAGACACGGUCCAGACUCCUACGGGAGGCAGCAGUAGGGAAUCUUCCGCAAUGGGCGAAAGCUUGACGGAGCAAUGCCGCGUGAGUGAUGAAGGUCUUCGGAUCGUAAAACUCUGUUAUUAGGGAAGAACAAAUGUGUAAGUAACUAUGCACGUCUUGACGGUACCUAAUCAGAAAGCCACGGCUAACUACGUG
Molecule: ribosomal RNA, 495 nt
Filed under: uncultured bacterium
Lineage: Bacteria
Description: partial 16S ribosomal RNA
Rfam family: Bacterial small subunit ribosomal RNA
Source: RNAcentral